GUUAGGAAUAUUGGACAAUGGGCGCAAGCCUGAUCCAGCCAUGCCGCGUGAGUGAUGAAGGCCUUCGGGUUGUAAAGCUCUUUAGCCGAUGAUUAUAAUGACUGUAGUCGGAAAAUAAGCCCCGGCUAACUUCGUGCCAGCAGCCGCGGUAAUACGAAGGGGGCGAGCGUUAUUCGGAAUCACUGGGCGUAAAGCGUGCGUAGGCGGCUUUGCAAGUUGGGAGUGAAAGCCCAGGGCUCAACCCUGGAAUUGCUCUCAAAACUGCAAGGCUCGAAUUCGGGAGAGGAUAGCGGAAUUGUCAGUGUAGCAGUGAAAUGCGUAGAUAUUGACAGGAACACCAGUAGCGUAAGCGGCUAUCUGGACCGAUAUUGACGCUGAGGCACGAAAGCGUGGGGAUCAAACAGGAUUAGAUACCCGUGUAGUCC
Molecule: ribosomal RNA, 425 nt
Filed under: uncultured bacterium
Lineage: Bacteria
Description: partial 16S ribosomal RNA
Rfam family: Bacterial small subunit ribosomal RNA
Source: RNAcentral